GCAAAUCAGUAUAAAUUGAUAAUAUAUAAUUAUUAAUUAUGUUUUUAUUUAUUUAUUUUAUUAAAAAUAAUUAUAUUUUUAUUUGUUGAAGUAUUUUAUAAAAAAAUAAUAAUUUUAAUUAUAGAAAAUUAGUAUCGUAAGAGAAUUUUGAAAUAAAUGAAAUAUAUAUAUAUAUAUAUAUAUAUAUAUAUAUAUUUAUAAUAAGAAAAUUUAAUUUAUUGUACCUUGUGUAUCAGGGUUUAUUAAAUAAAAUAUCUGUAAAGAUUUUUCUCGAAAAAAAAAGAUUUAAAAAGAUAUAAUAGUUUAUGUGUCAUAAUUAUUAUAAAUGUCUUUUUUGAAAUUAAAUGUUAUUCGAUUUUUUUGAUAUCUAGUUUUUCAAGAAAUAAAUUUAAUUUAGUUAUUGUAGAUUUAUUAAAUUAUUUAUAUUUAAUUUAAUAAUUUAUAAUUAUAAUAUUUAAUGGGAUGAGCUGUUAAAUAAAUUUUUAAAAAUUAAAUAUUAUAAAGUAUUUAUAUGCUUAUAAUUAGCAAUUAUUAAUAAAUUUGUUAUAAAUUAUACUUUAAUAAUUAAUAUUUUAUUAGUUUUAAAUUUUUUAUUGAAAUUUUUAAUUUAACAUUAAAAUUAAAUUAAUAAUGAUAAAAUUAGUAUAAAAUAAAGUUUGAAUUUGUAAAAUAGUAAAUUUUUUGUAAGGAAUUCGGCAAAAAUUGUAUUCGCCUGUUUAACAAAAACAUGUCUUUUUGAAUUUAAAUUUAAAGUCUAAUCUGCCCACUGAUGUUUUAAAUGGCCGCAGUAUCCUAACUGUGCAAAGGUAGCAUAAUCAUUAGUCUUUUAAUUGAAGGCUUGUAUGAAUGAUUGGACGAGAUAUAAGCUGUCUCACAAAAAUAAUUAGAAUUUUAUUUUUUAGUUAAAAAGCUAAAAUAUAUUUAAAAGACGAGAAGACCCUAUAGAUCUUUAUAUUAUUUAUAUUAUGAAUUUGAGGUUAUUUUUUCUUAUAAUAUUUUAUAAUAUUUUGUUGGGGUGACAUUGAAAUUAAAUUAACUUUCAUUAAUUUAUAAACAUUAAUUUAUGAAUUUAUGAUCCUUUAUUAUAGAUUAAAAAUUUAAGUUACCUUAGGGAUAACAGCGUAAUUAUUUUGGAGAGUUCUUAUCGAUAAAAUAGAUUGCGACCUCGAUGUUGGAUUAAGAUUAAUUCUAGGCGUAGCAGUUUAGUUUAUUAAGUCUGUUCGACUUUUAAUUUCUUACAUGAUCUGAGUUCAAACCGGCGUAAGCCAGGUUGGUUUCUAUCUUUAAAAAAUUAUAAUAUUUUAGUACGAAAGGACCAAGUAUUAAAAAUAUUAUUUUUAAUAAUAAUGAAUUUUAUUAAUUUUUAUUAA
Molecule: ribosomal RNA, 1370 nt
Filed under: Xanthochlorus tibetensis
Lineage: Eukaryota; Metazoa; Arthropoda; Insecta; Diptera; Dolichopodidae
Description: 16S ribosomal RNA
Rfam family: Archaeal large subunit ribosomal RNA (bases 1113-1272)
Source: RNAcentral